CUACGGGCCGCACCAGUGGGGAAUAUUGCACAAUGGGCGCAAGCCUGAUGCAGCCAUGCCGCGUGUAUGAAGAAGGCCUUCGGGUUGUAAAGUACUUUCAGCGGGGAGGAAGGGAGUAAAGUUAAUACCUUUGCUCAUUGACGUUACCCGCAGAAGAAGCACCGGCUAACUCCGUGCCAGCAGCCGCGGUAAUACGGAGGGUGCAAGCGUUAAUCGGAAUUACUGGGCGUAAAGCGCACGCAGGCGGUUUGUUAAGUCAGAUGUGAAAUCCCCGGGCUCAACCUGGGAACUGCAUCUGAUACUGGCAAGCUUGAGUCCCGUAGAGGGGGGUAGAAUUCCAGGUGUAGCGGUGAAAUGCGUAGAGAUCUGGAGGGAUACCGGUGGCGAAGGCGGCCCCCUGGACGAAGACUGACGCUCAGGUGCGAAAGCGUGGGGAGCAAACAGGAUUAGAUACCCCAGUAGUC
Molecule: ribosomal RNA, 464 nt
Filed under: uncultured bacterium
Lineage: Bacteria
Description: partial 16S ribosomal RNA
Rfam family: Bacterial small subunit ribosomal RNA
Source: RNAcentral